This 301-nucleotide ribosomal RNA is filed under the name uncultured bacterium. RNAcentral's name for it is "partial 16S ribosomal RNA". It matches the Rfam family "Bacterial small subunit ribosomal RNA", at positions 509 to 807 of the family's 1533-position model. The record is from RNAcentral.
CAUCAGCCGCGGUAAUACGGAGGGUGCAAGCGUUAUCCGGAUUUAUUGGGUUUAAAGGGUCCGUAGGCGGACUUAUAAGUCAGUGGUGAAAGCCUGUCGCUUAACGAUAGAACUGCCAUUGAUACUGUAAGUCUUGAGUAUAUUUGAGGUAGCUGGAAUAAGUAGUGUAGCGGUGAAAUGCAUAGAUAUUACUUAGAACACCAAUUGCGAAGGCAGGUUACCAAGAUAUAACUGACGCUGAGGGACGAAAGCGUGGGUAGCGAACAGGAUUAGAUACCCCGGUAGUCCCUGUCUCUUAUAC